RNAcentral lists this ribosomal RNA (369 nucleotides) under uncultured bacterium. Its description in RNAcentral is "bacterial SSU rRNA". It matches the Rfam family "Bacterial small subunit ribosomal RNA", at positions 917 to 1289 of the family's 1533-position model. The record is from RNAcentral.
GGGCCCGCACAAGCGGUGGAGUAUGUGGUUUAAUUCGAUGCAACGCGAAGAACCUUACCAGGGCUUGACAUCCUGCGAACCUCUGGGAAACCGGAGGGUGCCUUCGGGAACGCAGUGACAGGUGGUGCAUGGCUGUCGUCAGCUCGUGUCGUGAGAUGUUGGGUUAAGUCCCGCAACGAGCGCAACCCACGUCUUUAGUUGCCAGCAUUUAGUUGGGCACUCUAGAGAGACCGCCGGUGAUAAACCGGAGAAGGUGUGGAUGACGUCAAGUCAUCAUGCCCCUUACAUCUGGGCUACACACGUACUACAAUGCUACGGACAAAGAGCAGCAAGUUCGCGAGGACAAGCAAAUCUCAUAAACCGUGGCUC